ACGGGUGCGCGCGCAGAUAUGGGGCUCAAAACAAAACAGUUUUGACCAUCGAUGUAUUAUAAGAGCUUUUGUAAUACAUUCAUGGUGUUGACACUCUUAUAUUACAUUCAUGAGUGAGACUGAAGAUUUUCGUGAGCACAACAUGACAAAAAGCUGUUGUGCUCCAGACUGCACAACUCAGACCAGUGAUGGGUGGAAAAUGUUCAAUAUCCCCAGAGUGAAACAUCUUCUCAGCAGCGGAGGAGAGAGUUGUGGCUGGAAGCGAUAAACAGAUGUGACUUAUGGAUCUCUGACAGAUGAAAGCCUGUGAACAUGCUAUUUGUGGUCUGUGUUUACGAGUCUGCAUACCAGUGGAGGCCAUCGCCGGACUAUAACAGCCCAGAUUUUGUACCUUCUAUUUUUAAACAUAACUUCCUCAAGACAACAUGGGAAACUGCGAGCAAAUCAAAACCAGGAAGAGAAGAUUUGGAGCAUCCUUCUUCACUCCUUCAAAGAUCAUCAAAGAUUGGAUGCCCCUGUUGUCUUCUAUACCGCGUCUCUUCAUCAUGAGGCCAAGCAGGGAAACGGCUAGAGUUAAUUUGCCAAAGUGUUUUAAGCCCCAGUUUGUGGACUGUCGGUGUAUUAUUGACUGCCCUGAAAGUUUGAUAGAGAGAACCUCCAACCUAGCACGGGCUGAAACCUGGUCACGUCACAAAAAUAAAAACACUAUUAAGUACCUAAUUGGAAUAACACCUGCAGGAGCUGUUUGCUUCUCAUCAGGCAGAUUUGGAGGCCGUGCUUCUGACAAGAUAAUGGCAUCAGAGUCUGGCGUUUUAGGAAAGCUUGAACAAUGUGGUUCUUGCUGACAGGAGGUUCCUUGCAAGAGAAGAGCUGUUAAGUGUUGCAGCAACAUUAAAAAUCCCAAGUUUGGCAAAAGAGAAGUCUCACCUGCCUAGUUUCUGCUCCUGGCGGCUGUCAAGAGACCACAUUCACACAGAACGAGUGAUCAGUCGCUUUAAAACCUCCCAGAUACUGUGAUACCCAUCAGCUUGUGUGCACUGUCUCUUCAUGUGUAAAAUGUAUCUUUGCUUUUUGCUGUUCAUUACAUCCUGUGCUUUUUAGGUUAUUUUCCAAACCAAUGCAGAUUUUCACUGAACUGCAGGACUGUUGUGGAGAUUUAUGUUUAUAUUAAAUGGUCCUGGUGAAAAUACAGAUUGUGAACCAUGCAAAGCAAUGACAAUAUGAUAUUAUGACUGAUUACUGUAAAAUGAUGCAGUUGAAAUGAUGCAAAACCUUUCCUUUUUAAAAAAAAAUUGGAAUCCUCAAUAUUUCUGUUAUUUUGAUUUGUUCACAUUAGAUUUUAUUGGCAGUUUAAAUGGUUGCCUUAUUAUUGUUCAGGUGUAAUUUACAGUCACUUCAA
This is a long non-coding RNA of Thunnus maccoyii (southern bluefin tuna), 1399 nucleotides long. RefSeq lists it as uncharacterized. The record is from RefSeq and is a predicted model, not a curated record. NCBI's taxonomy places the organism in Eukaryota, Metazoa, Chordata, Actinopteri, Scombriformes, Scombridae. The transcript is spliced from 3 exons.